GAGGUGUGGCCUUGUGUGAUAGGCGGGUUGGAGACAUCAUUGCUUGCUAGUUGUUUGUGCAUCGCUAGGAUGCUUGUGUGUUGCUUGUUGGAUUUAUUCUUGACAUGUUGGUGGAAAAUGAAUGAGUGGGAGGGAAGCCUGGUUUGGUUCUCACUGAGUAAUAUCCCCAAAUUACUCACCCCUCUCUUUUAAAUCCAUAUUGCAGGUGUGUGAUGAAUGUGAUUGUGAUGAUGUCUGGGAGGAACUAGACGAGUAGCUCU
RNAcentral lists this long non-coding RNA (260 nucleotides) under Eutrema salsugineum. RNAcentral describes it as "long non-coding RNA (ESAL_LNC000733)". Lineage: Eukaryota; Viridiplantae; Streptophyta; Magnoliopsida; Brassicales; Brassicaceae. The record is from RNAcentral.